AUGGAGCCGCCAGAUUCAACUUCGAAUAGAGGGGAUGCUGCCGCUCGGACCUUCGAAUUGAUAGUCAAUUUCUUUCCAUCAAAGGCAAAAUUAGUUGAUGGUAGCAUACAGAACAUUGAGAGAGACACAAUUGUUAAAUGGGAGGUUGAGUUUACAGAGAUUGAUCCACAAGUUCUACAGAACAUGGGAGAGACGGCAGUGAAGAAAUGGGUGGAAAAAAUUGGGGAGAAUAUAGUUUGGGGUCCAGAGCAAGAAGUAUCACUGUUGCGGUUUGAUGAUUGGAAAGGAGAGUAUGUGAUAAUAGAAGAUGGUGAACAGAUUGUUGAAGAAAUCGAUCGGCAAAACGGCUGGACAAGCAAACGGGCUAAUUUUUUUGCUAAGCUCGUUGAUCUGAACAUUUUUUCGAAGGUUGGAUAUGUGCCAUCAUAA
RNAcentral lists this ribosomal RNA (429 nucleotides) under Triticum aestivum (bread wheat). RNAcentral describes it as "partial small subunit ribosomal RNA". The record is from RNAcentral. Lineage: Eukaryota; Viridiplantae; Streptophyta; Magnoliopsida; Poales; Poaceae.